Long non-coding RNA from Phragmites australis (common reed), 1366 nucleotides. RefSeq lists it as uncharacterized. The transcript has 8 exons. Lineage: Eukaryota; Viridiplantae; Streptophyta; Magnoliopsida; Poales; Poaceae. The record is from RefSeq and is a predicted model, not a curated record.
GAACAAUGGUUGGAUUUACAUCGAGUAAAGGAUUUGAUAAUUAUGAAGAUGGUAUCUCUUCUCCGAGGAACAGUUCUUCAUCUGUAGGUAACAGGGAAGAUAUGAGAACCCGAAUUAUUGAGAUGGUGUCGCAUGGCCUAGCAAACUUGUAGGUUAUGCUUAAGCAUUCGGGCUCCCUCUUUAUGUAUGCUGGUCACCUUGGUGGUUCGUAUGCAAAGAACAACUUUGGGAAUGUCUACACUAUUGUGGACGUUUUUGUUCUGGGGUGUUUACUUUGUGAAGCUUGGGGAAAGGAGGCUCCUAAAAUGCAGGAAGAAUUCAAUGAUUUUCUUGUGAGAGCUCAUGGUGAAAAUCUUGUGCCUGAGACGAGAACUACAAGGUGUAUGUUCGGCACACCAACAUUAGUAUUUGUUUCAAAUUUAGUUUUCUGGCUCCUAAAUCUGAAUCAAUCAGCACUGGAUUUGUAAGGAGGGAUGCCUAGUCACACAUUGAGCAUUUAUUUGUCAAUGGUUGUUAUCUGGAAUGUUGCACGGUGAUGGCCUUUGAUUUUUUGCUUAGUUGAUUGUUGGCUAUGGAAGGCAAAGGUUGAGAGGUUCUUCUGCUCGUGUGACAUGGGACUUCUGCUUCCACUACGUGAUGCAUGGGCAUUCCAAUUUCUUUUCCAGUACCUUCCCUGCACUUGGUUUUGUUGUGCAUAGGUAAAUUAGAUGUCUCAUGUCUGCUUAGGAGCUCCCUAUUCAUGGGUAUGUGGUUUGUUUCGCUGGCACAUAGAUUGAAGGUCUCACUAAAAUGAUAUUGUUUCUUGGCUUAGAAGUUCUAUUUGUGAGUGUACUUAUCUCUCUGAUCUCCAUGUAGUUAGCUUUAUGUGCCAUUUGGUAUAUCUUUUUGGGCCAUUUGUGAUCAUCAAGUUUGGUAAUUGCUAAACAUUUUUUGAAUGGUCAUUGUUAAAGCCUACAUGUGUUAGUGUUUUCCAGUAGUAUUAUGAGGAGCACUGGGCAGUAUUCGCAGUGUGGUGGGGAUGUUGUCCGGCCUCAGCCAUGCUAUAGUAUGUUAUUUCACUUCAAGUUAUAGAUUUACACUGCCUUCUUCAAAUAUUUCCAUUAUCUCUUUAGGUACUUAAAAUCUUUGUCCAUUUUCUUUUACAUCUACUUCUAUUUGUAUGUUUUAUUCAAGAAAAAAAAAUAGAUGGAUACCAUUACAAAGAUGCCUAUAUUAAAAAAUAUCAUCGACUGUAAGGAUGACAUAUGGGUCUUGUGACCACAUCUCAUAGAGAAAUCGAUGAUAUUUUCUAACUAGGGUGAUCUUUGUAAUGGUAUUUUCCAAAUUCGUCCUUUAUUCAGUGGUGUCAACCAUUUUUCAUUCAAGA